GGUGCUAGUGUAAAAGAAGGGGUGCUAGUGUGAAGGAAGGGGUGCUAGUGUAAAAGAAGGGGUGCUAGUGUGAAGGAAGGGGUGCUAGUGUGAAGGAAGGGGUGCUAGUGUAAAAGAAGGGGUGCUAGUGUGAAGGAAG
Molecule: long non-coding RNA, 139 nt
Organism: Homarus americanus (American lobster)
Lineage: Eukaryota; Metazoa; Arthropoda; Malacostraca; Decapoda; Nephropidae
Exons: 3
Source: RefSeq, a predicted model, not a curated record